This 464-nucleotide ribosomal RNA is filed under the name uncultured Geobacteraceae bacterium. RNAcentral's name for it is "partial 16S ribosomal RNA". It matches the Rfam family "Bacterial small subunit ribosomal RNA", at positions 338 to 794 of the family's 1533-position model. Lineage: Bacteria; Pseudomonadati; Thermodesulfobacteriota; Desulfuromonadia; Geobacterales; Geobacteraceae. The record is from RNAcentral.
CCUACGGGAGGCAGCAGUGGGGAAUUUUGCGCAAUGGGGGCAACCCUGACGCAGCAACGCCGCGUGAGUGAUGAAGGCCUUCGGGUCGUAAAGCUCUGUCAGAGGGGAAGAAAUGCAGGUGGUGAACAACCAUUCUGUUUGACGGUACCCUCAAAGGAAGCACCGGCUAACUCCGUGCCAGCAGCCGCGGUAAUACGGAGGGUGCGAGCGUUGUUCGGAAUUAUUGGGCGUAAAGCGCGUGUAGGCGGUUUGUUAAGUCUGAUGUGAAAGCCCCGGGCUCAACCUGGGAAGUGCAUUGGAUACUGGCAGACUGGAGUACGGGAGAGGAGAGUGGAAUUCCCAGUGUAGGAGUAAAAUCCGUAGAUAUUGGGAGGAACACCAGAGGCGAAGGCGGCUCUCUAUGCUACUCCUGACGCUGAGGCACGAAAGCUGGGGGAGCAAACGGGAUUAGAUACCCCUGUAGU